Daucus carota subsp. sativus is the source of this 2950-nucleotide long non-coding RNA. RefSeq lists it as uncharacterized. The record is from RefSeq and is a predicted model, not a curated record. Lineage: Eukaryota; Viridiplantae; Streptophyta; Magnoliopsida; Apiales; Apiaceae. The transcript has 2 exons.
AGAUGCCUCGCCAGAAAUGUAGAUUAGUAAGAAACAUCAGAUAAAGUUUUCCCGAUUAUUGAUCACAAGGGUUUCGUGGUGUAGUUGGUUAUCACGUCUGUCUAACACACAGACGGUCCCCGGUUCGAGCCCGGGCGAAGCCAUUUUUUAUUCUUGCAACAAAGUUUAGGCUGCUCCCACCCUUUUGAUUUGCAGACUCAACCUCCUCCAUCAAGAUUUUGUUCGGACUUCGGAGUGGUUGGUUUGUAUACACUAUACAAGAUGCUUGGGGCUUCUUUUACUGUGCAUGAUUGUAUAUGUUAUGAUGUAGAACGGCGUGUUUGUUGUUAAGUUAUUGCCAUCAUAAUCAUAACAGUAUUAUGGUAUGGUGGGGUUGUUGGGAAACGAAGGGGUCUAUUUCUUUCUUGUUGAUGGUAUACAAUGAUGAAUAGGUCACCAGCAGAGAUGUGGUUUGGCGAUCAUUAAGUUCAAAUGAGUAUAGAUAGUGUAUUAGAUGUUGUUGUGGCUGGUGAUAGAGAACUCAGAAAUUUAGUCUGACACCCCAAAUGUGGUUCUUAGGGAAGCUUAUGAAAGUUAAAAAAUUAUCCAGAAACACCCAUUGCUGAUAUUAAGUAGAGAUAGGCAGGGCUAAUAAAAGAAUUGGUGCUCAAGAGAAGCAUAGGCUCAUACAAGAACACAGAUGAGCAUUUACGCCAGAUAAGGAAUCUUUCUGCUGAUUAUUUCAGUGACAAUAAAUAAACAUCUGAUGAAGAGUCAGGACAUAACCUCCUUUCAGAAUAUAUCUCGGAUGGAACUGCACAAAGUUCUUGACUUCUUGCUAAUUGUGGGUUGAACCUGAUAAAAAUUACAGAGGGCUAAUUAGGAUUAAAUGUGUUCCAGCAAUUCGGGCUUUCAAUUGGUAAGACUGUGUAUGGGCUACUUCUAAUGACCCGUCCUUAGAUUCCAUGCAUAUUAUCAUAUAGAUGGAGCUGGGAAUAGUAACAUCGCUAUCCACUAAAUCAUUGUAUAUAUAUUAGGAUAAGUCUAAACGUUGCUGGUCAAGGGUGGAAGCAAACAGUAAAAACUGCUAAGAGUGUAUAUUCAGAUUCUUCAGAUACUUGUUAGAUGCAGAAAUGAGUUGUUGCUGAAGUCACAACCUGCUUCUCAUUGUAUGUUGGUAUUGUCCUUGUAAUAUCACGAAAUUUUUUUGAAACAGAACUAACAAGUAUGUAACAGAGAAGAGGGUACUGUAGACUGAAUUAGACUUCAAUACAACUUUCAGUUUAGAGUAUAGUGCAUUUUGAUAUUGGAAUCUCUUUUGCAUAGUCCCAGAUAUUAUUAAAAUUUGUUUCUGUUUCCGUUCCCUAUCCCUGUUUAAUUUGUGCGCUUCUUAUAUUUGUCAGAUAUAUUUGAAUAAAUGCAUUACUUUUGUCUAAUUAAUUAAGUUAUUCUUUUUCUUUACUUGCCAACUUAGUGUUCUAGGUUUUUCAUCGACUUGCAAAAGUAACAUUCGGUAUAUGUCAUGUUGUUAUCACAAAUUUAAUGCAACAUACGCAUCUCUACUAUCUCUAACCACGUUGUUUAGCCUUUCUGCCAGCACUCAGAACCAUAUAAUAAUAACAUAACAGUGUGACCAUGGGCAGACCGUAGUUAGGGCUGGGGUUGGCCCCAGCUUGGGUGAAAUUUCGGCCCAACCCAUUAAUAUUUAUAUAUGUGUUAAAGUCCAGCUCGGAUAAAAAAAUAAGAGCCUUCUUAAUUAGCUUGAUCCAUAAAUUGUCUUAUACAUAAAAUUACAUAAUAAUAAUAAUAAUAAUAAUAAUAAUAAUAAUAAUAAUAAUAAUAAUAAUAAUAUAACGCUCCUCAGUCUUGCUUUCAUGGGAUAAAAGUCUAAGUUGAACACUUAAAGUACGUAACUUUUAGACCUAUUUUUCUCUCCAUUGCGUUUUUCUUUAUUUCAGCACCCCUUUUCACCAAGCACUACAUGAAACUCAAGACACAUACUAUUAUAUUUACAUGAAUCAUUUAGUCAGCGUGUAUUCAAAAUCAGCCGGUUAACUUGGGGCCAAAGCAAUUACAGAACCUCACGUUAAAGCCGAUCUGAAAUUAGUUUCCUAUACAUAAUUCAAAGAGAAAACGAUCGAGAGCGAGGGGCAAUUAAGAAGAUGGGUUUGUCACAUGAUGCUGCUCCGACUUUCAAAUCUUAUGGGGUUCCUCAUGGCUCAACGAGUAUGCCCUUUUAUUACAAUUAUUUACAACAUUCUUUCUUUUUCUCAUGAUUUUGAGUGGAAUUGCGAAAGGUGUUGAUUUUAAUCUUGUUUGUUUGUGUGUAUUUGUUUGUUUGUUUAAUCCCCGUGUUUUGUUUGGUUUUUGGUGUUUUUGGCGAUUUUUCGUGUUACAUGUGAUACGUUUCGUUGUUCGCUUCGCAUACGACGAGGCAACUUGAUCGAUAGCAUAGCGGUGGUGGCCGAUGGUGGCGGUGACGGCGACGGCGGUUUCAGGACGGGAUCCGGAUCCGGUUUCAAAAAGGAAAGCGCGUUAAUUGUGCCUUAAUUGAGGGCGGUAAUUGUGCCUCGUUAAUUAUGCCUCUUUAUUGAGGGCGUAAAUUGUGCCUCAAUUAUUGAGGGCGUAAAUUGUGCCUCUUUAUUGAGGGCGUUAAUUUGAGGGCGUUAAUUGUGUCUUAAUUAAGGAUAUUAAUAUUUUAUUAUGAUGCCUUAAUUAAGAGAUUAAUUGUCUCAAUCAUGAGUUAUCAUGAUUGUGGGAAUAUUUUGAUUUAAUCUGUUAAAUAUAUCGACUUAUAUUCUUUUUGUUUCUCUUGUUUUAUUUUCAGGAUUCUUGGAAGAAGGCCGGUUUUCUUUUCGGACAUUAAAGUUUUAUUGUCUAAAUUUCCCCGGUCAUCUUGCAUGUCCGACGGUUAGAUAAUAAGCUUUCUUGAAUGAAAGAAUUAUCACGGUGAAUUGCCGAUUCUCGUUGA